RNAcentral lists this ribosomal RNA (427 nucleotides) under uncultured prokaryote. RNAcentral describes it as "bacterial SSU rRNA". It matches the Rfam family "Bacterial small subunit ribosomal RNA", at positions 355 to 774 of the family's 1533-position model. The record is from RNAcentral.
UGGGGAAUUUUGCGCAAUGGGCGAAAGCCUGACGCAGCAACGCCGCGUGGGUGAUGAAGGUCUUCGGAUCGUAAAACCCUGUCGUCAGGGACGAAGGUCGUGGGGUGAACAGCCCCAUGGCUUGACGGUACCUGGAGAGGAAGCCCCGGCUAACUCUGUGCCAGCAGCCGCGGUAAUACAGAGGGGGCAAGCGUUAUGCGGAAUGAUUGGGCGUAAAGGGCGCGUAGGCGGUGUGUUAAGUGGGAUGUGCAAUCCCCGGGCUUAACCCUGGAACUGCCUCCCAGACUGGAACGCUGGAGUACUGGAGAGGGUGGUGGAAUUCCACGUGUAGCGGUGAAAUGCGUAGAGAUGUGGAGGAACACCAGUGGCGAAGGCGGCCACCUGGACAGUAACUGACGCUGAGGCGCGAAAGUGUGGGUAGCAAACA